AUUGAACGCUGGCGGCAGGCCUAACACAUGCAAGUCGAACGAGUGGCGGACGGGUGAGUACUGUCUGGGAAACUGCCCGAUGGCGGGGGAUAACUACUGGAAACGGUAGCUAAUACCGCAUACCAUCGGAUGUGCCCAGAUGGGAUUAGCUUGUAGGUGAGGUAACGGCUCACCUAGGCGACGAUCCCUAGCUGGUCUGAGAGGAUGACCAGCCACACUGGAACGGAGACACGGCCCAGACUCCUACGGGAGGCAGCAGGGGGGAAUAUUGCACAAUGGGCGCAAGUCUGAUGAAGCCAUGCCGCGUGUAUGAAGAAGGCCUUCGGGUUGUAAAGUACUUUAAGCGGGGAGGCGUUACCUGCAGAAGAAGCACCGGCUAACUCCGUGCCAGCAGCCGCGGUAAUAC
Molecule: ribosomal RNA, 406 nt
Filed under: uncultured bacterium
Lineage: Bacteria
Description: partial 16S ribosomal RNA
Rfam family: Bacterial small subunit ribosomal RNA
Source: RNAcentral